Molecule: long non-coding RNA, 13869 nt
Filed under: Populus trichocarpa (black cottonwood)
Lineage: Eukaryota; Viridiplantae; Streptophyta; Magnoliopsida; Malpighiales; Salicaceae
Description: long non-coding RNA (PTRI_LNC000748)
Rfam family: MIR2912 microRNA precursor family (bases 1395-1549)
Source: RNAcentral
CUCCAUCAAAGGUUAUCCAACAUCAUCAUCUCUCUUUGUUUUAGGACAAUCUCUCUUGACAUGAUCCAUUUCUUUGCACUGGUAACAUUGAAUGCCUUUUCCUCUGGAAUCAGAUGCAAACCUGUCACUCUAAAAUACCUUUUUAGCUAAUCAUUCUCUUCACAUUAUCUCUACUGCUCACUAGUAUAUGGUUAUAUUUCAUGCAUAAACUUGAUGUUAUAUGUGUUUCAUGAGAUAAAAACACAACAUGUACUUGAUCUAGAUUCAUAUAACCUGACCAUAUAGUAUCAAUGUGACACGAUCAAAAGAUUGAUGUCUUAUCCCAAGUGCAGGAGUGUCGAAAUAAUAAAUAAUCCAGCAAGACCGGGGUCGAACCAUAGGGAGGUGAACUAUAUAAAAUUAUAAACAACAAAUGAAAAGGAGUUGAAGAGAAUUUUUGAGAUGUGAUAUUGAUGUGAGUAUUAAAUAAAGAUAAAAGCAAUUGUCAAAGUUAGAGGAUCUACUAAUAGUAUUAGAAAUUAGAAAUAAGUAUGGUAUAAACUCUUUUUAUUAAUCAACUAAAAACCACACACAAAGGAGGUUCCAAUUGGAUGAUUUAUCCUUAAUAGUUCAUUAUAAAUUUUUAACAUGCUCGUAUUAAUUAUCUUAUUUUAGUAACACCAUACUUUUAAAUAUUGUCAGGAAUUCAUGAUGUUAACUUAUGUUAACAACAAAUCAAGUUCCUUUCAUAGCACAGGUGUCGGUUAUACCAUACAAUAGGCUAUGAAAGUGUCAAGUAUUUGUUGUACCAAAGGUUGUGCAACACAAAUCUAGAUUAAUCAUUUAACAAGCAAUGUAUUAAGAAUUAGUAAGAUAAAAAGAUAAGACAUGUUAAUAACAAACUUUCUUGGAUAUAAAUAUUGAAGUCCAUGUUGAGUUUAUAUUAUACCCAUUCUAACACCAUUAGUGAAACCUUUUCACCUUAACAUAAUAAACUUAGUUAAACAUUGUGAAUAAGAGAAACAUAAAUAAACUAGAUAAGAACAUAGUUAUGAUGAAAGUUAACUAAGUAUAGUAAAGAAAAUGAAAAACAUAAACAAGAGAUUAAUAUAACAUAAAAUAAAACUUGAACAUUACAAAAUACAAAGAAAGAGAGCAAGAAUAUGAUCUUGAUCUUAAAACCAAGAUGUCUAAAUGUAUGGCAAAUGCCUCCUUUUAUAGGCUAAAAUUUGGAACUAUUGAUUUAAUGACUAAUUAUUGAGUCGGUGGCCAUCUCUUGACUUAGUGACAACCAUUAUCUUCUUGUCUGAACAAAACAUCAUUGUCAACGUCAGAAUUUAAACAGAUAGUCUUCAUGAACGUUCUGGGAAUUUGUCUCAGCUUUCCAACAAAACAAGAAUGAGCUCAUUUGGACUUCUAGAACUCGAGAUAUGGGCUAAAUACUGAACAGUGUCUGGGCUACAAGACAGAUUCCAACUUCUCUUUUGUUGCUACAAUUUGAACUUGAAAACGACCGUUUUGAAUCUUGGACUCUUAUGAAAGUUUUAGGCCUAUGUCUUAGCUUUCCAUCCAUAUAAACCAGACCUAAAUUCAUGUUUUACAGCUCCAGUUAUGAUCCAAUAACCGAAUGAUGUUCCAGUUUGAAUUGAACCAGCAUCUCUUCUUUAAGCUUAACCCUUUCUUUGUCUUUUCAUUUUCAAUAGUUAAACACGUCAAUCAAUCCUUUAAAUUGUGAGAUAUGUCUGCAUUUAAAAUGAGCAUUUACCAUAAAUUAAAGAUAUCUUAUGUUAUCAAACUUGUUAUUAUAAAACAUGUUAAGUUAGGGAAUUUAAUGAUACUUUAAGUGCAAUAUAAUUAUAUAAAACCUUGAUAAAAAUGCACUUUUAAAUACUAAUCACAAUGUCACCAUAUCAUCAAACGAAUCAAGGAGAAAGGUAAGAAGUAAAAGGGUCUUGUCUUCUUCCUUAAUCUUGACAUCAAUCAAUUUUUAUAGCUGAUCCAAUAUACCAUUGAGCACAUUCGAGUGCUCUAUGAGAUGCUCCCCUUCCUCCAUUUUUAGCUUGUAAAGUAACUGCUUCAGAUGUAACUAAUUGGUCAAACUCUUUAUCAGAUAAAAUUUUUGUUACUUUUCCCAUAUUGUAGGCAUCACAUCUUUAUCUAUAAUGCUGUCAUCAAUACAAAGUUGAACAUGUUCACAUACUUUAAUUCCAACUCCUCCCACUCGUCUUCCUUCAUAAAUAACUCAUUCAAUGGAAAGAGAAAUAACAGAGAUGAAUGAAGAUUGGCUGACAUGGUUCAACAACAUCCUGCCUGGUCCAUGGAUCCGAGAGUAAUCCUUCUUUACUAUGAGAGUAAAUUAGUACAAAAUUAUGAUUAUGAUUUUUAUACUCAAAACUGAACGCCCCCUUUCACUUUAAAGCACCCCUGUGGUCUUCACACUUUAAAGCACUCAUCUAUUUAUAAUGGUCAAACACUUGGUGAACCAAAAAUGAAUAAAGUUGGUGACUAAGUUUGCAAAACUCGAAGGCUACUCUACUAUUACUUGAUCCCCACUUCAUUUAUUUAGCCACUAUUCCAGGAAAAAUUAAGUAAUACCCCAUCAGAGAAAACAUGUCUUAUUUUUAAAACCAUCCAAAAUUCCUAUUUCCAAACUCAAAAUUCGGUUGCUAAACCAAAGGAGUGGACCGGACGGCAUGUUUCAGGUGAAAGACAAUUGAGAGAACUAAAACGUGCUGAUGAGAAACAGGGAGGUUUGAUCCUUUAAUUCAACAAUUGCUACGUGACCUUUAUUUACUUCUUAAUGCAAAUAAACUUUAUGGUUUGGAGUGAAUUAUCUCCCCGCUCCUUUCUUAAAAAGAAGAUAAAAAAGAAACCUCACGGUUUGAAAUGAAUUAUCUCCACGCUGCUUUCUGAAAAGAAGGUAGACAAAUGCUCUGUUGAAAUUGCAUGCUUACCUUCCUCUGUGUUGAAAAAACUGUGAUGAGAUCACUUUGUUAUCCUCUGGAAUUCGCCCACCUUCCUAGAAGUUUCUUCUAAAACAUGCUCACAUGGCCUUGGCAUCAAACGGCUGAUUAAUUUAAUGUAUUUUAGACCUCCUUGUUAUACUACACGAAAUUAUUGCAGCUAAAUGACACAAGUAGAUAUGUAUCUUUCGGCUCUGGCUAGUUCCCACAAGUCUACUUUCAUGGCUGUUCAUUGUGCUCUCAUUAUAAAUUAAUUAUUUUUCUGCAAAGACUUGUAUUCUGGAUCUUUGACAUUUUAAUUUCUUGGACCCCAUUCAGAAAAGUUUUUCACAAGGAUGAUUCCUGGCAUCUGCUUAACAAAAUUCCUUGUGACACCACGUACAAGGGCAUCCAGGUUCCAAUGGAAAGAAAAAGAGAUGGCUUUGGCCAGCACAUAGUAUACAUUCAUUUGUCAAAUUCUUGAUCUUAUUAAAACUAAAUGUUGCUAGGUCGCUAUCAGUGAGGUCACGCAUCCGUCGACAAGGAACAGGAUUCAUAAGUUUUGCCAAUUUAUCUGUAUAAUAUCAUGCCCAUGUAUUCUUUUAUUGGACGGUACACAUUGCUGGGUCAAUCAAUUUAACUUUUCUUUGUAGUGAAAGAGAAAAUCAAACUCUUUAUUUUUUUUUUUCGAAGAGUUAUUCAAUGGUGGCUCCACACCAAUUUCCUUGUGGUUUCCAACUCUAUUCCUAAAUAUUUGUUUCCCUUAUCAAAGUCCACCAUGUUUAUCUCCAACCACAAUGCUUCACCUUCAAACAACCUUCUUUUGAUCUAAUAUACCUUCUUUUGCCUAUGGUGAUCAUGGACUUGGAUUUUGAAAGACAUAGCAAAAGAAGAAAAACCAAGCUUGAAGAUGAUCCACAAACAACUGGAAUGGAGCUUCUACCGAGGGAGAUUGCUCAAGAUAUACUUUCAAGAUUGCCCAUCACUUCUUUGGUGAAAUUCAAGUGUGUAUGCCGAGCUUGGCGUGCCAUGGCGCUGGACCCUGAGGUUGUAAAUUUAUAUCUCUCUUGCUCAACUCAGGAAACAGAUCCUUGCGUAAUCCUUCACUGCGACUUUCCCAUCAGAAACAAUCUUUACUUCGUUGAUUUCGCUGCCCACGAAGAAGAAAAGGAGAAGGUGAAAAGAAUUCGAGCACCUUUUUCUUCUAUGAUGCCGGAGUUUGAAGUGGUAGGUUCCUGUAAUGGUUUACUAUGCCUAUCCGACUCGUUGUUCAACGAUUCUCUUUAUAUCUAUAAUCCUUUCACGGGCAGAUAUAAAGAGCUGCCAAAAUCCUUGCAGUAUCCUGAUCAAGAAGUGGUGUUUGGGUUCGGUUUCAAUCCCAAGACUAAUGAAUACAAGGUAAUUAGGAUUGUGUAUUAUAGGAAUGGGCAUGGCAGAUACCCUCGGUCACGUAGAAUCAUUUAUCCACUAUCACAAGUCCAAAUCUUAACACUAGGCUGCCCUGGAUGGCGAAGUCUAGGCAAAGUGUCAUACCGGCUAGUUCGCCGGGCAUCAGAGACCCUGGUUAAUGGAAGGCUUCACUGGGUUAGCCGACCGUGUAGAAACAAGCCUGCCCGCAGGCUGGUCUCAUUCGACUUGACCGAUGAGCAAUUCCGAGAAGUCCCGAAACCGGACUGCGGUGGCCUAAAUAGGUGCGACUAUCAUCUAGCGGUUCUGAGAGGCUGUCUCUCUGUUGCUGUUUAUUGCAAUUAUGGAAGACUGGAGAUCUGGGUCAUGAAGGAGUACAAUGUGAAGGAGUCAUGGGUUAAAGAAUACAAUAUUGGAGCGUACAUGCCAAAGGGUUUGAAGCAAAAUCUUGUCCGACCUCUGAAGAUAUGGAAGAAUGCCUCAAAUGGAAGGGCUGUUAGAGCUCUAUGCGUGUUGAAGAAUGGUGAAAUCCUGCUGGAGUAUAAGAACAGAGCUCUGGUUUCUUAUGACCCAAAGAAGGGAAAAUUUAAGGAUAUCGACUUACAAGGGACGCCAAAAUGGUUCCAAACAGUAGUUCAUGUGGGCAGCCUGAACUGGAUUGAUACUCCAAGUGACUAGCACAGCCAUGGAUCGGGUACUUCUCCCUUCGUGAGUUGAUCUCUCCUUGUCCUGAAACAAAAAAAAAAUCUGUUUCUGUUUCAAUUGUUCGCUUUUAUCAUUAGGUUCUCAUUAGACUAUCAAACCCCACACGCAUUUACAGACUCCAAUAAUCAAAGUAUAUUGGCGUGUAUGAAUAUUGAAUAUUAAUAUUGGAUCGAUUGCAAUGCAAGAGAAUAUUUAUGUCUCAUGUAAGAAGUAGACAAGAUCAGUUCGUAUAGGUUAAGAUUAAUCCCUUGUAUUAGUGGGUUUUAAGUCCAGCUCCCCCUCCUUUGCUGCUCGAACAAUCAACCAGCCCUUCCUUUUUUACAUUAACAAUUAACCACUAAUGUAAAAAUUAGUGUUAAUACUAAUACACUAAAAGAGUUCCGUAAUUUCCUGUGCAUUGCUGUGUUUCACGCUGAAUGGUAUUGCUCAUUGAACAAUAUUUAUUUUUUGUUUUAGUAACUCAACCUUUUUGUUUUCAAUUUCAUUGUUUUGUAUGAUAUUUGUGAUAUUUUACAUGUUGAUAUUUUCUUUUCCUUGUAUUUUCUUGACAAUUCAAUGUGUUGGGUGAAAUUUUAAAACUGAUUUAAAGGCUAAUUUCAUGAAAAAAAAAUUAAAAUUGUAAUGUUAAGAAAAAUUAAAAGAAGGACCAAAAUAAAAUAAACCUAAAGGGGCUUUUUUCUUAUUAGCACAAAAAAGCUCAAUUUUGUCCAAAAAUUUUCCAUCCACUCCCUUGUAGUCCCUAUAAUUUUAGGAUUUUAUAUUUAGAUCUUAAGCUUUAUUUAUUUCAUGUUUCAGUCCUAAAAUUUCAGUCCCUAUAAUUUUAUAUUAUUAUUAUUGUUGUUGUUGUUCUUUUUAUUAUAGAAAAUAUCUUUGAAUCAAUGUAUUAAAAUAAUAUUUAAACGAUUAUACAAUUAAGCUUUAAUUUUUUAAAAAAAUAUUAAAGACUUUUUAUGAUGAUAUUAUUAAUUGCUUUAUGAAUAAUUAUUUACUAACCUAAUAUGUGGAAUUUAUAAAAUAAUUUGCUCAUUAAUAUUGAAUGAGAAGAAAAUAUCUAUUUUUUAACUUUUUAUUGUAAGUUAUUUUAUAAUUUUCUCAAAUAUAUUAUGCUUAUAUUUUUUUUAAUAAAAGUACAAUAAAUAUAUUUAUUCAUGAUUUUUUAUUUUUUAUUUGGAACUUGUGUUCACGGUCAUAAUAAGUUUUGACUUAGAAAGCAAUACUUAACAUAAAAAAAAAACAUGUUUUAUUUUUUCAAAAUAAAAAAGAAAUGCAUGAAUAAAAAAAUAUUUUUUUAUUAAAAAUAUACAUUUUUUUCUUUUAGUUUAGAUUGCCAUAGUUUCUUCAAAUAUUUUUUCUAAUUGCUAGUAUUUUUUAUUCAAUGAAUUAUGUUGCUAACAAAAACCUCCUUUUGUUGUAAAAAAAAAGUUGUCUUUUCUACAAAUAUCUAUUUUUGUUGUUGUUUAAUAAAAAAAUAAAUUUCAAAAAGCAAAACUAUUAAACUUAGUUUGAUUCCAGACCAAGUCACAAGUUAGUAGGGUUAACUUGAAACAAUCUAAAAUAUUGACAUUUUAAUAUUUUAAAAAUUAUUAUUAUGAUGUCACUAUAAUUUUUUUUUUAAAGUCAAACACUAGGUUGAACAAGUUACGUGUAGAACUGAAAGAUUGACUAGGUGAUACCAAGUUAACUCUUUUCCAUUUUAAUUUUAAAUUAGGCCAUUGCAAGUGGCCUAAUCAACGGGUCACUAGGUUAUGCCAUCAAACCAAUCUAGAAUUAAAAAUACCAUCAAAAAGUUAUUGUGGUAAUGCGUUGGUAACUAACUAGUUUUAAACUAAGAAUGAUAUGACAAACCAAACAAAGUUAUUCUGUAUUUUUAAGAAGCUACUUUUUAUGAUUAAAAUUACAAAAUAUAUUAAAACAACUAGGUAAAUCACUAUAAUAAUUCACAAGACAACAAAGCUUUUUUUUAAUCUCAUCCUCAAAUUUUUUUUUUUAAUUGCAGUAGUUUUUGCCUAAAUUAACUACCAAUUUCUUAAAAUUUGUCAAGGAGAGAAAACAAAUCAACAAAAGAUAACCAAAAUAUAAAAUAAGGAGAAAACCCAUCUCCAAUCUCGAAUUCGCUAGAAAAAUUUCUAUAUAAUCCACCUGUUCUUCUUUUUCUUUAUAUAAUGUUCCUUUAGUUUAUGUAAUUUUAAUUUUGAUCCAAGGGUUUAUUUUGUUAAUAUUUCAGUCACUGAAUUUGUGAGAGAAAAGAGAAAGUUAUCAGUUUGUAACAAUGUAGUAACAAAAAAUGAUUAAUUUUAGUAUUAACGGGUUCUAUUUAACGAAAAGAGUUUAAUGGCAAUGAUUUUUAUUUCUAUAAACAUGUAUACAAUAGUAGAUUAAGUUCCAUUUAUAUUUUUUUUAUUUUGUUGAUUUUCAAUUUCUUUUCGUGUUAUUUUGGGAUGUUUUGGUGUUGGUAAAUAGUUUUUUUUUUUUUUUGAAGAUUUGUAUGGUAUUCUUGAAGAUAUUUUAAGAUAAGACUUUGAUUAUUGGGGUCAAAACGAGUCGGCAACCUAAAACUUUGAUUUACAUCCAAAAAUAGUUUUGGUCAAACAACAACGAAACAUGGAAGGGGUUGCUCUGCGUUGUGCAUGACAGCUAGAAGCCCAGAGUUCAAACAAACUAAUUAUCAGGGAAUAUUGAUGAAGUCCUCCUUCAUUAUCAGCAACCUAAAAAGGAGUGGCAGCGCUGGCUAGUUUUUCAACGGCCACCGAAAAACAAUCUAUUGAAAAAUUCUUUACCGAACAUUGGAUUUAUAUAGAAAGGUGCCUUUAAAAAAGUAGGUCACCAAGAAGCCCCUCCAUUGCCCAAUACACAGUAGUGGUUGCCUUCGAAAAGAAUUCUUCGCCUGAGAUAAGUUUUUCUUAUUUGGUCAAACGUAGUUUUCAGGCUCCGAUAUAGCAACCCAAUAAAGUAUACAGAAAAUACACUCACAUAGUAGCUUUCAGGCUUUGACUCCCUAAAAAGGUUUUUAUUAGCUAACCAAGAAACUUUAAAAGGGGUGAGGAAAUUACUUUUCCUCGCACGAUGGUUUUUUUUUUUUUUAAUGGCCAUCUAAGAUGUUUUCUCAUCGAUUCAGUACUUUAAUCGCUAAAUUGAUAGCAAAUUAGGUUUGAUUUAUUGAACAAGGACAGAAUUAAAAGAUGAAGGAUUAAAGUGUAAAAGGCUGAAAAAUCUGGUAGAGAGAAAAAGACUUAAUUGACAUUUAUUUAAACCACAAAAAACUUUGAUCUUGGUAUUAAUGAGUUUCAUUCAAUGAGAAGAGUUUUAGGUGUUUUUUAGCCUUCUCAUCAUCUGAAAUGGCAAUUUUGAUAUCAUAAAGUUUUUUAGUAUAGGGUUGAUUUUGAGUUUAUAGACCGCUUUUUAGGUUAUUGGUGGUCAUAUAAGGAUUUAUUGAGGUGUAUCAGGUGUUUUAUAUGUGUUUUUGAUCAAAAAUAGAUUGAGAGAAAUUAGUUUUAUAGGUCUAAAAAACACAAUUAUACUGAAAUUUGAGCUGAAGUAGGCGACGUGUCACCUACCUUUAUUUUUUAUCAAGAAACUCUAAGGUGAACAAUGUAUCAUCCACCCCAUUACCAAAUAAAAAAAAUUAAGGGCUAGCACGUGGGUUUGGUUUGCCAGAACCAACAGUGUCUGACCUUUUUUUUUUCUUUUUAAUUUUAAUUUUUUAAUUGAUAUUUUUUAUAUGUAUUCUCUAUGAUUUUUUAGAUUAUUUAUUUAGUAUUUUUUAAAUAGUAAUUGUUUAAAAAAAAUAUUUUGUACAUAUUUUACGUUUCAAAGAGAUAUUUCUAAUUUAUCCAUAAAUCUUUUUUAUAUUUUAUAUAAAUAAAUUUUAUUUUCAUGAUGUGUUUAUAAAAUUAAAAAUUAUUUUUUCUUAGAUAGGAAAAGGUAACCUUUAAGAUAAUAAUAAUAAAAAAAACUUGUGCAUUAUAGCUAAAAGUUGAGGUUAAAUAUUAUACUGAUCUUUCUUUUACUUUUAUAAAAAAAGAUAAUCUUUUCAUUUUAGAAUUUUAUUUGCAUUAGUAGCUCUUUUCCACUUUAUUAAUUCAUAUAUUUUAUGAUUUAUUUAGUUUAGCAUAAACAAUCUCUUUACAUUUCUCAAUUAAAAGAAUUAUGAUAUAGUGAAAAAUAAUUGCAAUAUUAUCCUAUUUUUUCACUAUGUUAAAAAUUAACUUAAGAUCCUACAUGCGGUGUUGCUUUAACAAUUGUUUUUAUUUAUUAAUGCAUAUAAUUCUCACUUUAUUUUAUUAUGUGUCGUACCCAACAUCACGACAACCUUUAAAAUUCAAAAUUAAAAACAAGUUUCUGACAUCUUAUUCUUCAAUAAGAAAUGUGUAGUUUAGUGAGUUAUUAUCUAGUAUUAUGGUCACUAGUAACCCCAACUGGUCAACAAAAAUUCAAUGAGUCGCCUUCUAGUAAAAUAUAUUGUAAAUUGAAUUUACCUUUUACAGUUAAAAUCUACAUAUCAAUUAUAUAGUGAAAUACUUAAAUAAAAACAUGGGAACCUAUAAAUAAAUUUAAGAGGGUCCUUAGAUUUUUCUGAUAUUAAAAAAAAACUCGUUUGGUCUAAUAUAAAAAAAAUAAAAAUAAAAACAAUGGGCCAAAGGCCCAGCCCAACUACUGUUUUUUUUUUUUUGGACUAGACACAGCAGGCCCGGGUAAUUAGGACCCGGCUGGGCCAAGCAGGAGACACGCGUUAACCAAAUCACGCGUGCAUGAACAGUGGAAGAGUAAUUAAAAUUCAAGGUGCACACUGCACAGUGAGUGAACUGAAAUUGUAAAGCUGGGGAAGACGAAAAGCACUUACCUGUGCUGCUGCUACUGAAGAUGAAGACGAAGUUGCGGGCGAUCGACUGCUGCUAAUUUCUCUUCCAUUUCCUUGGUUUCUUCUGUGAUCUUCCUUCUUUUUUUUGUUCUUUUUGUCUUCGUAUUCUAUUUGUUCCUUAUCUUUCUGUAUUUUUCUCUGUAUCUCCCUCUUCUGUCUCUGUUUUUUGGUCUUUCUUCUGUGUCUCUCGUGUCUAUGUUCUCUCUGUUCUGUCCCUGUAUUGUUCGUUCUUGUUCUCUCUGUGUGUUGAUUUCCUGGGUUUCCCUCUCUCUCUCUCUACUGUUUUUUUUCUUCCUCUUCUCUGCUUCUCUGGUUUGUUCCCCCCCAGUUCUCUCCCUUCUUGUGGCUUUUCUCUGGCUUAUAUAAAGCCAGAGAAUGCCAUGCGUUGGUAAAGCAAACGAAACGGACUCACAUGACAGUUACAGUGAUAAUGGAGACGCAUCGUGGGGCGCCGGCGGGGCGUCCCUUUUUUUCCCUGUCGGGUAAGAAGAAGAAGAUGAAUAAUCUUCUUUGAAACGGCGUCGUUUUGGGAUGAGAGUGAUCAUUUUCAGUUUGGUCACUGAGUAUUUGACGUUUGGUAAUUAAACCCCUUAAUCAGGAAAUUCCCUCUUCUUUUUGUUUUUAAUUUCGCCCCUAGGUAAUUUGCAAUUGGACCCCUGGAUUAUAGCCUUAUUCACAAAACAGUCAUUGGUUUCUGAAUUAUUCAAUUCAUUCUUUAAUUGACUCUUCAACUUUUAAUGUUUUCACAAUAUGUAAGAAUCGAGUUUUAGAUUUAUAGAUCUAUUUUUUUUCUUAAUUUCUAAAAACACAUUACCAACACAUACAUAUUCAUUUUUUUGUGUAGAAAAAAAUAUUCAGCCUGUAGCGAAGCAAGUUAAAUAUACACGUUAAUACUUUUUGAAAAACAAUUCCUGACAUAUAUAAUUUUUAUCUUAUUUUAUUAAAUGCAGGCAUAAAGUUUUUCUAUUUAUGAUGAGAAAUUGUUUUUGUAAAAAAAAAACAUGGUAUAAAGAUACACAUAUACCUAUUUUUGCUCAAAAACAUUAUCCGACAUUCAUUGAAUUAUUGCAUCUAGUUAAAUAACUAGUAUUUAUGAGUUGGCAAACUCUUAUAAAAAAAUAUCCAAUGUAAUUUUUGUUUAUAUAUAUACUAGUUAGUGUGUGUGUGUGUGUGAGUUUAUAUAUAUAUAUAUAUAUAUAUAUAUAUAUAGAGAUUUGGACACUUAUUAUAUGAGAUUGACGUAAAAUUAACAUCAUAAAUUAUUCCAUAAUAAGACUUGUUGCCAAUAUCUUUGGUUUUGGUUCCUUCUUCUAUAACCCCAAAUCAAAAAAAGAAGAGAUAAGAAAGUAUUUUGGAGAAAGUGGUUAAAAAUCUAUAAUGGAGUGCGAGCACAACGAUCAAAUUAGUUAUCUUUAUGCAUAGAGAUAUGGAAUUAUCUAGUAUAAAAGAUUUUAAACAAAAAAUAUUAAGGUCCAAGCUAGUUAUACAUUAGCUGCAUUUCAAUCACAGGACUAUUAGCUGCUGUACCUUUAUCGAUUAUAGAGUGGCAAUGUCGAUGGCCAUAAAAGAAGAGAUAGAAUUAUUCCAUCCUUUGCUUAAUUUUUCCUCAUCCUCAUCAAUUUUGCUCCCAUAUUCUUCGAAUGCUGAUUUUUCAGUCUCCCCUUUCACUCUCUGUACUUGUUUAUGUCACUAGAAAUCAAAUCUGCAGAUAUGUUCAUAUGAAUUCUUUCUCCAAUUUGUCAUCGUUCUUGAUUUCUGGAACAGAUCUCUUCAAAUAAUCCUAUAAAUAAAUAUUUAAUUUUACUAUUUUCCUUUUUUUGAAUUCAAAUUGCAAGUUUGUUCAUUCUUUAUUUAACAUAAUGGCCGUAAGCCUUCAACUCUCAUCAUGUUUCUAUACCAGUUUCUUGCUGUUGCAUGUCUCUAUCACUUUCUUUUAGCACCAUGUUUCAUGCAACAUCAAUGAACUCCGUUUGUCAUUAGGAGCAUUAGACCGAGAGAAAAUUGUGUGAGCUAAGCAUAUGACAAAUUAAUAGUGAGCCUUACGAAGGGAUUCAUGACUAAGAAGUAGAUUAUGAAGUCUGGAAAGAGAAACUAGCUUAGGGAAUUAUCAACGCUAGUCCCACUAACAGUGAGCUGCCGAAACUCAUCCUUACGAAGGGAUUCAUGACUAAGAAGUAGAUUAUGAAGUCUGGAAAGAGAAACUAGCUUAGGGCGAGUAGUUAAUGUUGAGACAAGAUCUUUAAAAAUUUGAAACGUAAUCCUUUCAAUAAAUAUAAAUUGAAAUCUGUUGGAUCGAACGACUUUCCAACAGUAGUGAGUUUGUCACCGUAUUUUUGAACUCAUUGUAAACACGUUUUCAUGGUUUCAUCAGGAUGUUGACGCAGUUCUAACAAGGUAGAGUGAAGAGCCAUUAUUUGCGUUUUCGAUGGAGAUGCCAAUGCUGCAGCAAGAGCGCGCACCAUAUGUCCCGAGAGGUUUUGCAAUCAAACACCGAAGACAGCACAUCUGUCGAUAAGGACAUGAUCAAUGUGCUCAAAAUAAGUUAAUCUUGUGGCACCAAGAGUCCCUAUCCUUUCAGAAAAGAUAAUCGGUGUUGGUGAUUUUCAAGCAGAUGUGAUGAUAUGCUGUUUAUAAACCCUAGAUAAUAGCAACUGUUAUGGCCGGCGGCAGCACCUCUGAAGUGCUUUGAGAAGAUGCCACUAACAUACUUUGAGCAGCUGCUGUUUUUUUCCCGAAAAGUCACAGUACACUUAUGUUAGAGGCGUCCUAUAAAGAAGAAUGCAAGAAAACAGAAACAAAAUUGAAAAGUUGCAUGCGGAUAUAUUCUCCACUGGAGCUGCUGUAAUGCUACUAGUUUACGCUAUAAUAAUUGGGCCUGUACAUAGUCAGCUAAGAUGGGCGUUUUUGCUCAAUCGUUCGUUUAAAGACUGGUUGUCAACUGGUCUGGAUCUUUUUAUCAUGUGUCUGUGUUUAAGGAAUAUUUUCUUACAUCCAGUCUCUUAGUUGAUUUGUCUAACGGGUAACAUUGAAGGAGGAUUCUAUACAUUUGUAGCCGUUGGCUUUGCUACUUGCAACAAAUUUCAAUUACUAAUGGAGGCAUUGAUGAUUGUUGUCCUGUACUUGUAUUUCCACAUUCAUGGGAAAUUCUCAGGAAUGAAGGAGUUGAUGAUGAACCACAAAACAUGGUCUCGUCAAGCGGAGAAGCGUAAAAGCAAGGCAGAAUAUGUGCUCCAAUUAUCAAACAAAGCAGCACAAGAUGCUGCUUAUUUUAUUACAUACCAAACCAUUAAUAUAAAAUUCAUCAACCUACUUGGAACCAACAAGAACAUCCCACAAGGCAUCUCUGCUCCAAAUCAAAGAUCAAAUGCAUCCAUGCGGUGAGUUCGCAUUGGUUUGAUCCAAGUGGAACAUUUCCAUACCUACACCCCCAUUAGCAUAACAAUCCUUUAUUAAACCACUAGCUAGACGUGCAAGAUUCAACCUACACACAAGAACCCACUAGAUAGACUUCCACUGGAACCAUGCAGCAUUCUCCCGUGAUGACCUCAUUACUCAGUCUUUUCUACUGGGGUUUCUGUUUCAACCUUCUCCUCUGUUUCAACAGGCUUCUGUUCUUCCUUUACUUCUUCUUCCUUUGGGGCUUCGACUGCAACCUCCGUUUCUUCUGCCGGUGCCUCACCAGGCUCUGUAGUCUCUUUAGCCUCCUCGACAACAGGCUCUACGGGUACUUCCGGCUCCUCUUUUGUCUCCUCAGCAACCGGCUCUGGUGUUUCCUUAGGUGUCUCCUCCUCAGUUUUCUCUAGUACUGUUGGCUCUUCUGCAGCGAUCUUGUUCUCUUCGAGCACCUCUUUAGUUUCAGCUUCAGCUGGGGCCUCGGGCUCUGGUGCCACGGGCUCCUCAGAUGCUGCAACUUUCUCUGCUUCUUUUGGCUCUUCAUGAGUUACUGCCUCUGGUGCUGCAGUGACCGCUUCUUCUGUG